This 497-nucleotide ribosomal RNA is filed under the name uncultured bacterium. Its description in RNAcentral is "partial 16S ribosomal RNA". It matches the Rfam family "Bacterial small subunit ribosomal RNA", at positions 28 to 507 of the family's 1533-position model. The record is from RNAcentral.
GAUGAACGCUGGCGGCGUGCCUAAUACAUGCAAGUCGAGCGAACAGACGAGGAGCUUGCUCCUCUGACGUUAGCGGCGGACGGGUGAGUAACACGUGGAUAACCUACCUAUAAUACUGGGAUAACUUCGUAAAACCGGAGCUAAUACCGGAUAAUAUAUUGAACCGCAUGGUUCAAUAGUGAAAGACGGUUUUGCUGUCACUUAUAGAUGGAUCCGCGCCGCAUUAGCUAGUUGGUAAGGUAACGGCUUACCAAGGCAACGAUGCGUAGCCGACCUGAGAGGGUGAUCGGCCACACUGGAACUGAGACACGGUCCAGACUCCUACGGGAGGCAGCAGUAGGGAAUCUUCCGCAAUGGGCGAAAGCCUGACGGAGCAACGCCGCGUGAGUGAUGAAGGUCUUCGGAUCGUAAAACUCUGUUAUUAGGGAAGAACAAAUGUGUAAGUAACUAUGCACGUCUUGACGGUACCUAAUCAGAAAGCCACGGCUAACUACGUG